RNAcentral lists this ribosomal RNA (460 nucleotides) under uncultured bacterium. RNAcentral describes it as "partial 16S ribosomal RNA". It matches the Rfam family "Bacterial small subunit ribosomal RNA", at positions 338 to 795 of the family's 1533-position model. The record is from RNAcentral.
CCUACGGGAGGCAGCAGUGAGGAAUAUUGGUCAAUGGACGCAAGUCUGAACCAGCCAUGCCGCGUGCAGGAAGACGGCUCUAUGAGUUGUAAACUGCUUUUGUACGAGGGUAAACGCAGAUACGCGUACCUGUCUGAAAGUAUCGUACGAAUAAGGAUCGGCUAACUCCGUGCCAGCAGCCGCGGUAAUACGGAGGAUUCAAGCGUUAUCCGGAUUUAUUGGGUUUAAAGGGUGCGUAGGCGGUCGGAUAAGUUAGAGGUGAAAUCCCGAGGCUCAACUUCGGAAUUGCCUCUGAUACUGGUCGGCUAGAGAGUAGUUGCGGUAGGCGGAAUGUAUGGUGUAGCGGUGAAAUGCUUAGAGAUCAUACAGAACACCGAUUGCGAAGGCAGCUUACCAGGCUACUUCUGACGUUGAGGCACGAAAGCGUGGGGAGCGAACAGGAUUAGAUACCCCAGUAGUC